Molecule: ribosomal RNA, 253 nt
Filed under: uncultured bacterium
Lineage: Bacteria
Description: partial 16S ribosomal RNA
Rfam family: Bacterial small subunit ribosomal RNA
Source: RNAcentral
UACGUAGGGACCGAGCGUUGUCCGGAUUCAUUGGGCGUAAAGAGCUCGUAGGCGGCCACUCAAGUCGAACGUGAAAACUCGGGGCUCAACCCCGAGCCCGCGUUCGAUACGGGACGGCUAGAGGUAGGUAGGGGAAAGUGGAAUUCCUGGUGUAGCGGUGAAAUGCGUAGAUAUCAGGAGGAACACCGGUGGCGAAGGCGGCUUUCUGGACAGAUACCGACGCUGAGGCACGAAAGCUAGGGGAGCAAACAGG